RNAcentral lists this unclassified non-coding RNA (371 nucleotides) under Hevea brasiliensis (rubber tree). The record is from RNAcentral. Lineage: Eukaryota; Viridiplantae; Streptophyta; Magnoliopsida; Malpighiales; Euphorbiaceae.
GUUGAGCUUCAGUUACAUUGAUUCCAGCCUGCUCAGCUUGAUUACUGCCUUGGUUACUUAUCAUAUUACACAAGCAUUCUGAGUCUGAUUUUAUCACAUUUUCUAGAGGAUUGCAGCAACUACUGGGUACAUCUUUUGUUCCAUUAAGAUAGUUGAGGCAGGGAACUAGCUGGUUUAGGCAUGAGGUGUCUUGACUACAUCCUUCUGGCACCAAAAUGCCAAAAACUAGUAGAGAUAUUGCAAGAAUCCCCCAGCUGCUGCUUCCCCAAAUCUUGCCCAUCUUUUUGUUUUCUUUUUGUGUGUUCACAGCAGAUACCUUUUACGUGGGGGUAUAUAUAUAGAGUGUCAGAGAGGGAUGUUUGAAUCUGAAG